This 2052-nucleotide long non-coding RNA is filed under the name Sorghum bicolor (sorghum). RNAcentral describes it as "long non-coding RNA (SBIC_LNC018634)". Lineage: Eukaryota; Viridiplantae; Streptophyta; Magnoliopsida; Poales; Poaceae. The record is from RNAcentral.
UGGCGGUUAGAAAACAAGGGUGGGAUGGGUGGGUAUUUUUUUUAUAUAUAUAUACGCAGCAAGCAAUGAUGAUCAGAUCAAGGGUGGGAUGGAUGGGUACAUGCAGCAAGCAAUUUGAUGAUUAGAACAAAGAUAAUAACUAGAACAAUGUGGAAAAGAAAAAUUCAGCAACUAGACAAAUAUUAAAGGAUUAAAACUCGAUAAAGCAAACUACAAAAUCAGUAGCACAUAUGAAUUUGGGCUGUAGGUUUUCUUUUUGGCUCUCAGUGGACAGUAGGUAUUUAAACUCUAUCCUACCAAAAUCUCGAACAAUCCUACCGAGGAAACGAAGGCUUUGGUACCAGAUGAUAUGCUCACGCCUAGGGAUAGCGUGAGACAAGUCGUUGUGGCCCGAUCUUCUCGUAGGAUUCGCGAACUUGAUAACUUGUCGCUGCGUGACCUGGUGAAGAGGCAGUGCACCGCGAGGCUGUCCACGCGACGAACUACCGAGACAAUCACCCUUCCACGUACCGACGAACAGCCCACGCAAUCACGCCGUAUAGACGUGAAGCCACAAACUGGAUGAACCGCAGUUCGGCGUUCUACUGGUAUCCCGCAAUACAGUACGUUCCAUGUAAACCGUAAACCUAUCUUUCAUCAAGAUUAGCACUAUCUCCAAACAGACCGAACCGAGCUUUCACUGGAACCUCUUCACCUAGGAGUACCAUCGGGAACUUCCACAACGAUUUCUGAGCCUAUGGUGCACUGGGCACAAACCAUGCAACUAUCUUGCACCGAAACUAAUAAUAUCUCCAACUGGACUGAAGCGAGAUUCCAUAUGAUACACUUCAUCUAGUAGUUCCAUCGGGUGCAUCUACAAUUCCAUCAGGUGAGUCCAAAUUGAUUUCUGAGCAUAUGGUAUGUUCCCUGCAAACCGUGCACCUAUCUUGCAUCAAGAUUAGAACUAUCUCCAAACAGACAGAACCAAGAUUCACAUGAGCCUCUUCACCAAGGAGUACCAUUGCGUGCGUCCAAAAUAGUUUCUUAGCCUAUGGUGCAUUAGGCACAAACUGUGUACCUAUCUUGCACCGAAACUAACACUAUCUCCAAAGAGACCGAAGUGAGAUUCUAUAUGACACACGUCAUCUAGUAGUUCUAUUGGGUGCUUCCAAAUAUAUUUCCAAGCAUAUGGUACGUUCCAUGCAAUUCGUGCACCUAUCUUGCAUCAAGAUUAGCACUAUCUCCAAACAAAGCAAACUGAGCUUCAGUAUCAUCGGGUGCAUCCAAAAUGGUUUCUUAGCCUAUGAUGAAUUAGGCGCAAACUGUGUACCUAUCUUGCACCAAAACUAACUCUGUCUCCAAAUAGACCAAAGCGAGAUUCCAUAUGACACAUGUCAUCUAGGAGUUCUAUUGUGAUGCAUCAAAAUAGAUUUCUUAGCAUAUGGUAUGUUCCAUGAAAACCGUGCACCUAUCUUGCAUCAAGAUUAGCACUAUCUCCAAACAGACCGAAGUGAGAUUAUAUAUGACACAUGUCAUAUAGGAGUUCUAUUGCGGUACGUCCAAAUGGAUUUCCUAGCAUAUGGUAUGUUCCAUGCAAACCGUGCACCUAUCUUGCAUCAAGAUUAGCACUAUCUCCAAACAGAUCGAACCGACCUUCCACCUGAGCCUCUUCACCUAGGAGUAUUAUCGGGUGCUUCCAUAAUAGUUUCCGAGACUAUGGUGCAUUAUGCGCAGACCAUGCACCAAUCUUGCACCUAAACUAACACUGUCUCUAAACAGAUUGAAGCGAGAUUCCAUAUGACACACAUGAUCUAGGAGUUCUAUCGGGUACGUCCAAAUUGAUUUAUGAGAAUAUGGUACGUUCCAUGCAAACCGUACACCUAACUUUCAUCAAGAUUAGCACUGUCUCCAAUAGACUGAAUCGAGCUUUCACUUGAGCCUCUUCACCUAGGAGUACCAUCGGGAACUUCCACAACAAUUUCUCAGACUAUGGUGCACUGGGCACAAACCAUGCAACUAUCUUGCACCGAAACUAAAACUAUCUCCAACUGGACCGAAGCGAGAUUCCAUAUG